GUGUUCACUUUGGCAGCACAUGUACUAAAAUUGGAACAAUACAGAGACUAGUAUGGCCCUUGUGCAAGGAUGACACACAAAUUUGUGAAGCAUUCCAUACUUUU
Molecule: small nuclear RNA, 104 nt
Organism: Loxodonta africana (African savanna elephant)
Lineage: Eukaryota; Metazoa; Chordata; Mammalia; Proboscidea; Elephantidae
Source: Ensembl